Xenopus tropicalis (tropical clawed frog) is the source of this 658-nucleotide long non-coding RNA. RefSeq lists it as uncharacterized. Lineage: Eukaryota; Metazoa; Chordata; Amphibia; Anura; Pipidae. The transcript has 2 exons. The record is from RefSeq and is a predicted model, not a curated record.
CCUUAAAGGGGAAGGAAAGGUUAAAACACUGGGGGCUGCCCAUGGUAGGCACCUCCAGAAAUUAUUAUAAUUUAACUGAUAACCCAGGCCAGUGCUCCCAUCAGCAGAAAACCUGGGGUUCUUCUCAUGGAGUGAUCUCCUUCUGCUUCUUUUUUCUUCAAUGGCCGUGGGUUGAUGCAUGUACAGUAGAGUGAAAAGGCUGGUGGGAAGACAGAAGGCGCAGGAAGAAGAAGAUCGAUCCAUGAUGCUCGCUCAGUGGUACCCCAGCUUGGUGCAAUUUUCUACUAACAGGAGCAUCGGCCCCGGGUAUCAGUUCUGCAGAGAUGGGAGGCGAGUCGAAGGACACAAUUGGAGCACUUUUAGAGAUAAAGACUAUUCCAGUACUGUACCUGUCAUGGAGCUGGUACCUUUCUCGCACCUCUUCUAAAAUGAUUCGUUUUGGUCCCUCUCCCCCGAUAAUGAAAUGGAGAUUUGGGUAUCUCUGACACAUUUCAGGAAUAAUACCGCCCAGCAAAUCAAUUCCUGCAGCAAAGAGAAGUGUAUGUGAAGCAAGCUGAGGUUGGGCAUGAUUGUAGGCACCCCAAGUACAGAUCUGUGCCAUAGCCCAUAUAGACCAAUUGCCUCCACAAAAAUAUAAAUAAAAAUGUUUAUCCAGUUA